UGGGGAAUAUUGGACAAUGGGCGCAAGCCUGAUCCAGCCAUGCCGCGUGAGUGAUGAAGGCCCUAGGGUUGUAAAGCUCUUUCACCGGUGAAGAUAAUGACGGUAACCGGAGAAGAAGCCCCGGCUAACUUCGUGCCAGCAGCCGCGGUAAUACGAAGGGGGCUAGCGUUGUUCGGAUCUACUGGGCGUAAAGCGCACGUAGGCGGACUUUUAAGUCAGGGGUGAAAUCCCGGGGCUCAACCCCGGAACUGCCUUUGAUACUGGAAGUCUUGAGUAUGGUAGAGGUGAGUGGAAUUCCGAGUGUAGAGGUGAAAUUCGUAGAUAUUCGGAGGAACACCAGUGGCGAAGGCGGCUCACUGGACCAUUACUGACGCUGAGGUGCGAAAGCGUGAGGAGCAAACAGGAUUAGAUACCCUGGUAGUCCACGCCGUAAACGAUGAAUGUUAGCCGUUGGGGAGUUUACUCUUCGGUGGCGCAGCUAACGCAUUAAACAUUCCGCCUGGGGAGUACGGUCGCAAGAUU
Molecule: ribosomal RNA, 522 nt
Filed under: uncultured bacterium
Lineage: Bacteria
Description: partial 16S ribosomal RNA
Rfam family: Bacterial small subunit ribosomal RNA
Source: RNAcentral